Marmota monax (woodchuck) is the source of this 738-nucleotide long non-coding RNA. RefSeq lists it as uncharacterized. NCBI's taxonomy places the organism in Eukaryota, Metazoa, Chordata, Mammalia, Rodentia, Sciuridae. The transcript has 3 exons. The record is from RefSeq and is a predicted model, not a curated record.
UCAGCCGAGUGGCCUGCGCCGCGGACCUCAGGGGAGAAGAGGUGGCCUGACCCGCAGCCCCCUGGAGAGGGGAGGGCGACGGAGGAGCGCAGUGUGACCUGGGGAGCAGGAGGCGGUUUAAAAGAGGGACCCGCCCAGAAAUCCUACAAUUUUUCAAGCAUUAACUGAAGCAGUCUAAUUUAUGAAGAUUUAUAUGUCGGUGCAGUGGAAAGAGCAGUGACUUAAGCCGGCCUCUCUCCCUACCAGCCCACCCUGCAGGAAAGUGCACCCACCGCUUCAUCAAAGCCCAUGUAGAGGAACUGCUGGUACCACUGCUGCACCUCUGGCCGAGUCCGAUCCCACAGCUGCCGCUUCUGGCGCUUCAUGCUGCUCAGGAACUCUUUGGCUCUAUUCUCAUCCAUGGCCACUUUUGUCUCAGUCAGAGCAGGUGCUGAAAUGAGCAAUUUCCACCCCGAAAUUGCAAAGAAUGAUUUUUUAAAAAACAGCAGUUUUUGUUGUUGUUGUUGUUGUUGUUGUUGUUGUUUCUAGAAUCGUACUGUGGGUUGAACUACUUUUUAAAAUUUAUGUGUAGUAAUUGUACAUAUUUAUGGGGUACAGUGUGAUAACUCAGUACACGUGCAAUGUAUAAUGAUUCAGUUGAUAAUUAGCAUUACCAUUUCCUUAACCAUUUAUUAUUUCUUCAUGUUGGGAAGGUUUGAACUCCUCUCUUGGAGUUCUUUAUAAAAUAUGUAACAAAUU